GCUUCCGUAGCUCAGUUGGUUAGAGCGUCGUACUAAUACCCUAUUCGGGUGUCCAGUAAUGCGAAGGUCUCAGGUUCAAGCCCUGGCGGGAGCA
Molecule: transfer RNA, 94 nt
Filed under: Fusarium piperis
Lineage: Eukaryota; Fungi; Ascomycota; Sordariomycetes; Hypocreales; Nectriaceae
Rfam family: tRNA
About the family: Transfer RNA (tRNA) molecules are approximately 80 nucleotides in length. Their secondary structure includes four short double-helical elements and three loops (D, anti-codon, and T loops).
Source: Rfam by way of RNAcentral